UACAUGGGGUGCAAACGUUGCUCGGAAUUAUUGGGCGUAAAGCGCGCGUAGGCGGUUACUCAAGUCGGAUGUGAAAGCCCUCGGCUUAACUGAGGAAGUGCACCCGAAACUGAGUAGCUAGAGUACUAAAGAGGGUCGCGGAAUUCCCGGUGUAGAGGUGAAAUUCGUAGAUAUCGGGAGGAACACCAGUGGCGAAGGCGGCUUCCUGGACUAAUACUGACGCUGAGGUGCGAAAGCGUGGGGAGCAAACAGG
Molecule: ribosomal RNA, 253 nt
Filed under: uncultured bacterium
Lineage: Bacteria
Description: partial 16S ribosomal RNA
Rfam family: Bacterial small subunit ribosomal RNA
Source: RNAcentral